Molecule: ribosomal RNA, 391 nt
Filed under: uncultured bacterium
Lineage: Bacteria
Description: bacterial SSU rRNA
Rfam family: Bacterial small subunit ribosomal RNA
Source: RNAcentral
GACGAACGCUGGCGGCGUGCUUAACACAUGCAAGUCGAGCGGUAAGGCCCUUUCGGGGGUACACGAGCGGCGAACGGGUGAGUAACACGUGGGUGACCUGCCCUCAGCUCUGGGAUAAGCCUGGGAAACCGGGUCUAAUACCGGAUAUGACUCCAUGACGCAUGUUGUGGGGUGGAAAGCCUUGUGCGGCUGAGGAUGGGCCCGCGGCCUAUCAGCUUGGUUGGUGGGGUGAUGGCCUACCAAGGCGACGACGGGUAGCCGGCCUGAGAGGGCGACCGGCCACACUGGGACUGAGACACGGCCCAGACUCCUACGGGAGGCAGCAGGUGGGGAAUCUUGCGCAAGUGGGCGAAAGCCUGACGCAGCGACGCCGCGUGAGGGAUGACGGCCU